UGAAUGCUCAACUACACCUAUUUUGUCGUAGUUUAAGCAAUCUUAUUAUAUAAAGUAGACAUGUUCUCUCUCCUGGUUAAGAAACAUCAUCAAAUAGUCUCAUCUGUGUGUGACACUUGUCCCACCAUCUUAAACGAUGCGUUUCAUUAACUCCAUUCAAUGAGAUACGUGGGCUUCGUUUUGUGUUGGCAGUGCUCGAUAAUGUCCACAAGGACCCAGCCCCUUAUCGAUAAUUUAGGGUUCAUCACAAUCUUCGAUCUCCGCAAUUAGAAACUCUGAGAUGCAGAGGUCGGCGUGACGAUUCCGUUCGUUGGAGUUUCGAUUACGUCCUUUCACCUUCGUUCCAUCCAUUGAAACGAGACAACUUCCAGAUCCAUCACAUUAAACACGUUCUUAACUGCUGUAGCCAUGAACUACAAUGUGUGUGAAUCUUCUUAGAUGCAGUGUUUCUAAGGGUAUAAGAAGCAUUCGGAGCUUGAAACGACGGUGUUAGGCCAUUCCAGGAUGCAACAGGUCUUGAAUUGAUUCAUCUCGGCGGUGGCAGUUUUGGCAACUAACGAUGCUAACUCCCGAGAACGCUGGUGAUUUCACGUCGUUGCUUGAGCCUCCACCUACACAAGCAGUGGAGCUUCUCCAUUUCACUGAUUUGCCUUUGUUGUAUUUUCGAGCACUGGCCCUUACGAAAUCGUUUUAGAUAUCUCCACCGCUUCACCGCUACUGAACAUUGACUAGCCAGAACAAUCAGUCUCGCAAGAGAAAAUGACUCGACAAGAAGUUCCUUUGAGACAUUACAGGUCUGGAAUUGCAUUGGAUGAGAGAUAGCCCAGCUUGAGGAAAAGAGGAGAAAAGGAGUGUGAUUUGGAGUCUUUCGCGCAGAACAGUCGAGCAGAGCAGCAUGGGUGCCUGCUCCAGCGGCAGAGAUAAAAAAAAAAAGAAGUUUCCAAAUAUUUCGGGAUUUGCCCUAGAUUUCCUAUUUUUCCCUAUAGCCGCCUGUGGCUCCUAUAUAUAUAGUCUCCUAUUAUUUACUUGAGACCUACCUUAGUUUUUACGCAAGAAAAGAUCUGAGAGAGCUUUGAUUUUAGCGAUUGCUACUUGUAAGGGAGGAGGCCUCAUCUAUCUCAUAGAGAAGAUUAUCCUGAACCCUCUGAUUUUUAUUAUCUAUUAUAUGCAGUAUUAUUCA
Long non-coding RNA from Brassica napus (rape), 1180 nucleotides. RefSeq lists it as uncharacterized. The record is from RefSeq and is a predicted model, not a curated record. Lineage: Eukaryota; Viridiplantae; Streptophyta; Magnoliopsida; Brassicales; Brassicaceae. The transcript has 3 exons.